Salvelinus sp. IW2-2015 is the source of this 287-nucleotide long non-coding RNA. RefSeq lists it as uncharacterized. The record is from RefSeq and is a predicted model, not a curated record. NCBI's taxonomy places the organism in Eukaryota, Metazoa, Chordata, Actinopteri, Salmoniformes, Salmonidae.
AUCUCCAGCUACUGCUACUAUCUGUCACUGUGUUACUAGCUAGCUCAGGUACUCUCAACAUUCUCUGAUUCACGUACAGAUCGGUUGGCAGAAUGUCUCUGCUGCUUUGUUGGGCAGUGAUGGCUCUGCACCUCGCAACAGGGCUGGCUGCUGCCUCGGGGGUGGUGAACACUACAGAGGAGGAGGUGGAAGGGGUGGACUCCCAGUCACCAUGCCCAGCCGGGUGGCAUCAGAAUGAGCAUCGCUGCUUCUCCUUCUACCCCGUCUGGGCCACCUGGGCCACUGCA